RNAcentral lists this ribosomal RNA (253 nucleotides) under uncultured bacterium. Its description in RNAcentral is "partial 16S ribosomal RNA". It matches the Rfam family "Bacterial small subunit ribosomal RNA", at positions 524 to 776 of the family's 1533-position model. The record is from RNAcentral.
UACGGAGGGUGCGAGCGUUAAUCGGAAUUACUGGGCGUAAAGCGUCCGUAGGCGGCUUGUUAAGUCUGAUGUGAAAGCCCUGGGCUUAACCUGGGAACGGCAUUGGAUACUGGCGAGCUAGAGUUCGGUAGAGGGUGGUGGAAUUCCCGGUGUAGCGGUGAAAUGCGUAGAGAUCGGGAGGAACACCGGUGGCGAAGGCGGCCACCUGGACGAAGACUGACGCUCAGGUGCGAAAGCGUGGGGAGCAAACAGG